UCGGGAAUUUUGGGCAAUGGGCGAAAGCCUGGCCCAGCAACGCCGCGUGAGGGAUGAAGUAUUUCGGUAUGUAAACCUCGAAAGAAUGGGAAGAAUAAAUGACGGUACCAUUUAUAAGCUCCGGCUAACUACGUGCCAGCAGCCGCGGUAAUACGUAGGGAGCAAGCGUUGUUCGGAUUUACUGGGCGUAAAGGGCGCGUAGGCGGCGCGGUAAGUCACUUGUGAAAUCUCUGAGCUUAACUCAGAACGGCCAAGUGAUACUGCUGUGCUAGAGUGCGGAAGAGGCAACCGGAAUUCUUGGUGUAGCGGUGAAAUGCGUAGAUAUCAAGAGGAACACCUGAGGCGAAGGCGGGUUGCUGGGCCGACACUGACGCUGAUGCGCGAAAGCCAGGGGAGCAAAC
This 401-nucleotide ribosomal RNA is filed under the name uncultured bacterium. Its description in RNAcentral is "bacterial SSU rRNA". It matches the Rfam family "Bacterial small subunit ribosomal RNA", at positions 355 to 773 of the family's 1533-position model. The record is from RNAcentral.